Molecule: long non-coding RNA, 13061 nt
Filed under: Oryza sativa (Asian cultivated rice)
Lineage: Eukaryota; Viridiplantae; Streptophyta; Magnoliopsida; Poales; Poaceae
Description: long non-coding RNA (OSAT_LNC001217)
Source: RNAcentral
GCUCCAACUCCUAAAUAUAACUCCAGAAGUUGAGUCUGGAGUGGAGUUGUGAAGAAGAGCUCUACCCAACUCCACUCUUAAUUUUGGUGGAGCUGAAACUGUUUGGCUGAGCUCAGCUAUGCCAAACAGCCCCUAAUUUUCAUCUACAAACUUUAUUAAUUACUCCCUCUAUAUUUUAAUGUAUGACGCCGUUGACUUUUUAAUCCACGUUUGAUCACUCGUCUUAUUCAAAAAUUUUAUGCAAAUAUAAAAAUACUUAUAUCAUGCUUAAAGAACAUUUGAUGAUAAAUCAAGUCAUAAUAAAAUAAAUUCUAAUUAUACAAAUUUUUUGAAUAAGACGAAAGGUCAAAUGUUUGUCAAAAAAGUCAACGGCGUCAUACAUUAAAAUACGGAGGGAGUACUUAUUAGCGUCUAAUUUCGUUUUGGGAGUACCUAUACAUCUUUCGAAAUAUUUUUAUGAUUGUAUCACACAGAUUUUUAAUCUUUAGAUUAAAAUAUGAUAGAUAUAAUAAAAAAUAAAAAGCAAUUAAGAAACACCAUAAUGGACACUAAAUUACCAUAUCCUCAAGAAAAAGACCAAAUCCAAUACAAAAUUUAAAAUUUAUAUGCGAAGAUUCAAAAAUUACAGUGUAACUUACAAAAGUUACAGUGUAAGUUUUAUAAAUUACACUGUAACUUACAAGAGUACAAGAAAAUGCACUGUAAAUUUGAGUGAGAAAAUCGAGUGAGAGAUAAGAAAAAAAUCUUUCGAGUGAGAUAUAGCAAAAUCGUUUCGUUUUUAAUGAUGUGUUUAAUUAACUGCUUGAUUAAUGCAGCUGGGUUCGUGACGCCAUUGGAGAGCCUGAUCCUGACGCUGGUGGCGUGGGCCCCACUUGCAGGGGCCUUCAUGGCGGGACACGGCUCCGUGAGCCUGGUCUAUGGACACAUCCUCCUCUUCGACUACCUCCGGUCCAUGGGGUACAGCAACGUCGAGGUCAUCUCACACAAGACCUUCCAGGAUUUUCCCUUUCUCAGAUACCUCAUCUACACACCAUCGUGAGUCCUCUAAUUUACAUACUAUUCAUAAUAUCAUCCAAACUGAUCCACUAUGUUCCCUUACCUCGCUCCACUAAUUUAUAUUUAUUCAAAUUAGGCCAUAUUUGAUUUAAACUACUAAACAGAUUGUUGACAAAUUAAAUAUUUCAAAAAAUAAAUUUAACAGUAGCUUAAAACAAGUUGUCUAAAUAAUAGGCUUCUUUUCUUGAAAAAAAUAUUUUGUGAAGUGCAAAGCAAACAAUUUGUUAAAAUAUAUAGUCUGGUGAAUAAUAAGCUAAUUAAGAUAACAGGACAAACAUUUUUAGUAGAAAUUUAGUACAAUAUGUGUGUAGUGUGUUGUGCGCAUUCUACACCCUUUAUUUUCCAUACCAUAUACUCCGUAUUUAAAAACUUAAUAGGUACCAUAUGUACAGUACUUUCAAUACGAAUCCGGUAGGGAAAAAACAUACGGUAUAUAUUUUUCCUUUAUUUUACAUAUGUACUUCGUACUUAUUAGCAGCGUAUUUUCUUAAUUAACACCAUUUAAUGUCGCAUGCUCCCGUGCACGCGUCUGGAUAGAGGCCUAUAUGUGUACAGAGCGACAUGUCCAGUGCACUAUAGUCGAAGGCACCAAGUCAUAUAUCUGUAUGUGGUGUCACCAUGCAAUUAACUCGAAAAAGAUUGCACUUAGACAGCACAAAAAUAUACCAAAAACUGCCAAAUUAAUUGAAGUGUCACGCCCAUUGGCCAAUGUGGCGUCCACUGUCAUGUGUCGACCUUAAUUAGUUAUAUUAAGGCAUCUCUGGAUAAAACAUAUAAUUUCUGUUUCCAAAAUUGUCAACGAAUUAAUCAAGUUGUCGCAGUGAUGGCGAAGUUCUUGCAUUUCCAAAAAAGGCCUUGCUUGCAUGAGAAAUAAAAAGAUUGAUACUAUGAAACAUUGAAGUAAAUGAAUAAUGGACUAUCAGAUUUUGUAAUAUUAUCUACUCGAGGGUCCAAACAAGUGCAUAUUGUAAGGUUCAAAAGUUUUUUUUUUUAAAAAAAAAAACUAACGAGCUUAUAUAUAGAAAUCAUAGGAGCUAAGGAAGUGUGUCCACUAUGCAUUUUAUUACUGUAUGAGAGUCACAUUGUUGGAGCAUAUAUCACUUUCCAAUUUGGAAUACUCCUAUAUAUAUAUGUCGUGGUCAUCUAAAGCGAAUGUUAUCGAUCCUGUCCUGGUUAACGAAUGGAUCAGGUAUCCCUUAAACCAGUGACUGCAUUAAUAGCCAGGUUUGACGAGAAUGGCCAUAUGAUUUAUAACCCUAAUCAUUGCUGCUGCGUACUGGAAACUGAUAAUCAAUGCUCGUGAUAAACUGAUGGAGUACUAAUCAAGUGGUCAAAUGAUUUAAUUUUUCUCUAAUCAGGUGAGUCACUGUGCAUGAACAGAGCAGCUUAGAUAGGGAUGGGCUAGUGGUUGACAGGAAUUAAUUAAGAAGUUGAAACCAUUGUAGGGAGGUCUUGGAGACAUGAUUUGCAAUUUGGAACCCGGACUGACGUGACUUUUGUGUCCAUUUCGACGAUAUUCCUAGAAAUUAAGACUGCUGCUAAUUAAUCCUGUGGAUGCUUGUGGUGAUGUGUGCAGGUAUCUUAGCCUACACCACAGGGAGAAGGACUCCAAUUUCUGCCUGUUCAUGCCUCUCUUUGAUGCCCUGGGAGGGACCCUCAACCCCAAGUCUUGGCAGCUUCAGAAGGAGGUUGACCUAGGUAUUAGCUACUCUCUCUAUUCUAAAAUAUCACAAUCUACUUCCUCGCAAAAAAAAAAACAAAACAAUCUACUAUUAAAUUGGAUAUAACGUAGUACUACAAUUUAGACAGAGAGUUUAUCCAUAACCCAGAUUGAACUUAAAAAUCGAUGACCGUGUGUCUGAUUGAAUUGAAGAACUAAUUAGUUCGAAUCAUAUUUUUUAAUUUCUGUAGGAAAGAACCAUCGGGUGCCGGACUUUGUGUUCCUGGUGCACGUGGUGGACGUGGUGUCGUCGAUGCACGUGCCAUUCGCGUUCCGAGCGUGCAGCUCGCUGCCGUUCGCGACGCACCUCGUCCUUCUCCCGCUCUGGCCCAUCGCCUUCGGCUUCAUGCUCCUCCAGUGGUUCUGCUCCAAGACCUUCACUGUCAGCUUCUAUAAGCUCCGCGGCUUCCUCCACCAGACCUGGAGCGUGCCCCGCUACGGCUUCCAGGUCACACGUUUCAUCCAAGCCUCAAGGCUGAUUUCCAUUGAACUGGUUAGUGCAUGCAACUUAUCGUUUUAUUUUUUUUAAUGUCCUGCAGUAUUUCAUCCCUUCGGCGAAGAAGGGCAUCAAUGAGAUGAUCGAGCUCGCGAUCCUGAGGGCGGACAAGAUGGGCGUCAAAGUGCUCAGCCUUGCUGCACUCAACAAGGUGAGUAAUAGCAUCAUACGGAUUCGAUUAAUUAGCUACUCAUAAUUGUGUACCGAUCGUACUAGCUGUACUUCGUACUGCGUUGUGAGUGAUGGGUUGAUGUAAUUAAGCUGCUUGCAAGUGCAAGCAUGUUGGUUGUCUUCCUCUAGUAGGACAAAGUCAAGUGCAGACUGUGCAGUGUUAGUAGGUUGUUGUUAGCUAUAGCUCGAUUAAUUCCUUUAUGACACGCAUGUGGCCGUGCCAUUCUGGUACUGUGUCCAUACAGCGACGGAACUUUGGGCGAGUCGUAGUAUGCAGGUAGUACAAGUGAACACCAAUGUCCCAAUGAUUCUGUUUGUGAUAAAUUCUUGAUUCUGGGUAGGUAGCUAAACGUCAUUGGUUUGUACUGUGUACUACUCUUAGCAACGUGGUUAUAAUGGUUUCUUGUCAGAUGUCACUGAAUUUGACGGCAGGAAAGUUCAGUGAAAGAUCGAAUAUAUUAACUGAAACUGUAGUGAGUAAUUCUUUUUUGUGUGUGUGUGUGCUCGACAGAAUGAGGCGCUCAAUGGGGGUGGCACGCUGUUCGUCCGCAAGCAUCCCGACCUGCGGGUGAGGGUGGUGCACGGCAACACCCUGACGGCGGCGGUGAUCCUCAACGAGAUCCCCGGCGACGUCGCGGAGGUGUUCCUCACCGGUGCGACGUCGAAGCUCGGCAGAGCCAUCGCUCUCUACCUCUGUAGGAAGAAGAUCAGAGUCUUGGUACGUUCAUCAGAAGAAUGCUAUAGAGAGAAUGGAAGUGAUUCAGCUUAGCUUACUGUUUUUGUGUUUGUUUUGUUCAGAUGCUGACACUGUCAACGGAGAGGUUCAUGAAUAUUCAGAGGGAGGCCCCUGCGGAGUUCCAGCAGUAUCUGGUCCAGGUCACCAAGUACCAGGCUGCACAGAAUUGCAAGGUAGUACGUACGUAAAAUAUAAUUGAACUGGUCGGUGUAUGCAACUCAAUCAUGAUGUCUUACGACGGCGAUGUCGGUCGUCGCAGACGUGGAUCGUGGGGAAGUGGCUGUCGCCGAGGGAGCAGCGGUGGGCGCCGGCGGGGACGCACUUCCACCAGUUCGUGGUGCCGCCGAUCAUCGGGUUCCGGCGGGACUGCACGUACGGGAAGCUCGCCGCGAUGAGGCUGCCGGAGGACGUGGAGGGGCUGGGGACGUGCGAGUACACCAUGGGCCGCGGCGUCGUGCACGCGUGCCACGCCGGCGGCGUCGUCCACUUCCUGGAGGGGUGGGACCACCACGAGGUCGGCGCCAUCGACGUCGACCGGAUCGACGCCGUCUGGAACGCCGCGCUCAGGCACGGCCUCACGCCGGCGUGAACGCCGGCGACGGCGACGGCGGCUAGUAGUAACUACGUACAGCACGGGGACGCCGAAUAACUUUCGUGUUGUGCGUGUGUGUCGAUCGAUUGUACGUUGCAUUGUUCGCUCGCCCGGCUAGCUUAAUUAAUUAUCGGGCGUGCUUGUGUUGUGUGUUGAUAGCUAGCGUCGUACGUAAGAAUACCGCAGAAAUGACAAGAAAGAAUGGAUGAUUCCUCGUACACUUUGGGUGAUUGUUGCUCACUUUGGGAAUGGUUCAUCUGCAUCACUGCAUGUGUGUGGCGAUGCGCGAGAAACCGUCGUUGCAGUGAGAGUGAGACGUGCCGCGAGUGUAGCGGCCUCCCGAAUUUUUCCCGAGAGAAUUGUGGGCGUCGGCCCAUUUGCGGACGGACUCGCACACGCGGUUGAUUUGUUCCCGGGCCACAAACAAAUUGUUCCCAAUCCCACGAACGGCCCAGUUUGUUCGCACCGACAAAGCUUGUUUACGUUUUGGGCCGUUUCGGACCGACAGGUGGUCUUUUUGGUCAGCAACAUAGAAUAACUUUUUUAAGUAAACUGGUAACAUGAUUGUACUUUGUUAUAGUCCGGUGUCGAUAGGGAAAUGCCCCGGAUCGGUCGCUCGGGAGAGGGAGAAAUAUCGAGCGCUCUCUCCCCCCACGCGCUGCCUGUCCUUGGCUCCACCACGUCUCUGCUCUCAUCUGCCAUUUAUCUCCAUCAUAUACUCCAUUGCAACAAAUUACCUAUGUAUUUUAAAAAAAAUCUCUAUUAAGGAAAUUUGGUUUAUUUUUUAUUCCAAUAAAAAUAUUUCAUUUAGUGCACUUACAAUGUUUCAUUAUGUAUAGAUUUAAUGUUGCAGUGAACUGAAAUAUUUCAUUGCAACAAAACAAAUCACCCACAUAUUUUGGAAACCGCUAUUAAGGAAAUUCGGUUAUUUUUUGUUCCACAAAAAAUGUAUCACCUAGUGUACUUACAAUGUUUCACAAUGUAUAGAUCUAAUGUUGCAGUGAACUGAAACAUUCUUCGCUGUUUGCUGAAAGAUUGUUUAUAUAUAAGGUGAAACAACACCCGAUUUAAACGAGUGAAACAUUUUCGAUCUACUUAGUAAAACAAUUCCGAUAUACCUGAUGGAACAUCGUGCAACAUUUAAAAAUAAUUCAAUAAUAAGCUAAAUUUUUUUUCGUCGGAAUAUAUCCAUGUGUGGUCUUGUUUUGAAGAUUUAAUUACAACGAAUUUAAUGGUACAAUCGGAUCAUGAUUUGGAUAAGUAAUUUAAGAGAAAAAUCAGUUUAAAGUGGUUUUGUACGCAUACGUGGCGCUGACGUCAUAAUGUCAGCGUCCGAUUUUAACCCCCUCCCAUCGAGCGCCCGAGCCGAAGUCAUCCCCUUGUCCUUAUAACUAAAGAGUUACUCCCUCCACUUCAGGUUAUAAAACGUUUUGACUUUAGUCAAAGUCAAACUACCAUAAGUUUAAUUAAUUCUGUAGAAAAAAAUAGUAAUAUUUUUAACCUAAGACUAAUAUAUUAUAAAAAUUUAUUUAAUUAUAGAUUUAAUGAAACUAUGCUGGUGUUGUAAAUUUUACUAUUUUUUCUACAUAAUUAGUCAAACUUAAAGUAGUUUGAAUUUGACCAAAGUGAAAACGUCCUAUAACCUAUAAAACGGAGGGAGUAUUAUAUUAAAAAACAUAUAAACCGGUGCUUAAAGAAAAUGGACCGCGUGGAAUCGGAGGUAGAAGUUAUAGGACGAGUCUGCUUUGAAAAAAAUCUGAUAUAGGAGGUAGAAUGUUUUUGACUGUCAUGAAAAGAAGUGGUCCGUGCAGCGACAAAAAAGCAAAGAAAGUGUCACGCCGUGAAUUUGAUCAAUGUCGUUUUUUUUUGCAGAUGAUGAAAAGAAAAAAAAUAAUUAUGUUUAAUUUUCAAAUUAAACAUUGGUUCAUUAUAAGAUUUCAGAAUCAGUAAAUAUCUAUUGAAGAAAGAGGUGUAAAACUUUUGAUUUUUCAGCCAUCGGAUGCAUGGUAAGCGCUUGAUAUAAUUUCUAAAAUCGAACACGGACUUGCGUGGAGACGAAUCGUUUUCACGGCUCAUGCGUGGACGAUAGAUGGUGCGGACUCUAAUAUGUAGUGUUCUACAAAUGACAAAAAGAAAAAAAUAUGUUUAAUUUUUAAAUUAAAAACUGGUUCAUUAUAAGAUUUUAGAAUCACUAUACAUCCGUUGAAGAAAGAGGAGCAAAUAGAUGGUGCGGACUCUAAUAUAUCGUGUUUUGCAGAUGACGAAAGAAAAAAAAAUAAUACGUUCAAUUUUUAAAUUAAAAACUGGUUCAUUAUAAGAUUUCAGAAUCACUAAGGUGCUAGUGGCGGAGAGAAAAAAAUUGCGCAACAAUCUAGCGAGAGGCAAAGUAAUAAUAGGAUUUGAGAUGUGGGAGACAAAGUAGACUUAUUCCGAGUAGGAUUUGAAAUGUGGGAGGCAAAGUAGACUUAUUCUGAGGCAAAGUAAUAAUAGGAUUUGAGAUGUGGGGGGAAAAGUAGACAUUUCGAGCAAUCUAACCUGAGAGAGGCAAAAAAAAAGUAAUAAUAGGGAUUUGAGUUGUGGGAGGCAAAGUAGACUUAUUCCGAGGCAAAAAAUAAAAGUAAUAAUAGGGAUUUGAGUUGUGGGAGGCAAAGUAGACUUAUUCCGAGCAAUCUGGGAUGAGAGAGGCAAAGUAACAAUAUAUGUGUAGAAUGGAGAGGUGGUGGGAAUCGAACCGUGGUGGUCAGGUUGAAGAUUUCCUCCACAAACCAAGUAGGCAGGCUGCUAGUUGUGAUUGGUGGCUACAUGAGCAUACAUAUUGUAUAUCAACCGAGAUUUUAGAGUAGAUUAGAAAAGGUCCGAUCCGACUAUUAAGCGAAGUAAAACGGAUUUUUGGCAACGUGAUCUGCAUGACGGACGAAAAAAAAAAAUCCGGAAACCUUACUUAUUUUUUUAUUAGGUAUACUAGAAAAAAAUACCUGUGUAUUGCAACGGGUAAAAUUAUUUUUCGAUCGCUAUACAUUUUUCUUUGGUUUUGGAUAAAUACUCAUUCCUUAUUUACUUUAUAGUCCCAGCCCAGUCCGCUACCUCCCUCUGCUGGGCCUACCUCUCCUGCCUCUCUAAGACCUAACCCACAAGUGUAGCUGCAAUUCUAGCUCACAUAGUCAACUGCCGUCUUCAACCUCUAGAAGACAGUCUCGUGUCCAUACGAUGCCAAAACCGAUCCUCCCCAUCAAAUUCGGUCGAAUCUGUCUCGAUCUUCUAAAAUUGGAUGAGGACUUUUGAUACACUCGAUCUCCUCUUUUUGUUUUUAUCAAAAUCGGAGUGAAUCCGCAAAACUUGAUAAAAAAUGACUUUCAAUUAGAGAUUAAAUUCGGUGAAUUAAAGCAGAAUUGAAUGUGGAAAAUCAUGAGAAAAUGAUGAGAGAGUAGUGGGGAAUUGAUUUUUGCAACUAAUUGGAUGAGGGAAAGCAUAGAAAACUAAUUGAUUUUUGUCGACGUGACGACAGCGCUAGGGUUUGACCCGACGACGAAAAAAUAUGGCAGAUAAAAAAAUCCUACCAAAAAAAGUAAAAAUAAAAUAACGGAUAAAAAACGAAAAAAUAGGGAAAAGGUAAAAAAAAUGGAAGGAAAAAAUAGACGGACGGAGAGAAACGGAAAAAAAAGCGGGCGGAGAAAAAAAAAAGGAAAAAAAGGGGCGAGAACAAAUGGGAAAAAAAAGUAGACGGAAGGAAAGGAAAAAACGGAAAACCAAAAAAAAAAAGGGGGAAAACGAAAAGCAAACGGAUCGGAAAAAAAAAGAGGAAAACGGUGAAAAAGAAUGGACGGACGAAAUUUUUUUUACCGGAAGCUUUGCUUAUUUUUUAAUUAGGUUUAGAUAUAUACUAGAAAAGAUGCCCGUGCGUUGCAACGGGUAAAUACAUUUUUCAAUGAUAUAUUAAGAGCUAAGUUUGCAACGGGUAAAUAAUUUUUUCAGUGAUAUAUUAAGAGCUAAGUAAUAAACUGAAAUAUUGUGAUCACUAUACACUAAUAAUUGAAAAAGUUAAUAAAAAUCUUAACAUUGGCAUUGCUAUAAUGUUAAUGAAAAUAUUUCCUGGGUUUUUGCCAAAAGCCUUCCUUCUUUUUCAGCCUAGGCUAGUCCGCUACCUCCCUCUAUUUAGUCUGCUUCUCUUCGACCCUACCAUCUUCAAUUUCCCGAAUAUGACUACCAUCUUCAACCUCCUGAAGAUAAUCACGUGCCCGUAAGUUUGCCGGAGCAAAUCUCCCCAUCAAAUCCGUCCGAAUCUUUCUUGGUCAACCAAAAUUGGUCGAGGGUUUUUAUCCACUCGAUCUACUCUUUCCGUAUUCCCCAAAAUCAGAGUGUAAAACUCGGAAUAAAAAUGACCGGGGAACAUUACCGUCAUCAUCGGCAUCAAAUCCGGCCAAAUCUUUCUUGGUCAACCAAAAUUGGUUGAGGGUUUUUUAUCCACUCGAUCUACCCUUUCCGUUUUCCCCAAAAUCAGAGCGUAAAACUCGGGAUAAAAAUGACCGGGGAAGAUUGCCGUCAUCAUCGGCAACUGUUGAACAGAGAUUAAAUCUAGCAAUUAAAGCCAAAUCGAAGGGAAAAUCAUGGAGAAAAUGAUGAGAGAGGAGUGGGGAAACGUUUUUUGCAAUUAAAUUGGAGGACAAAACACAAAAUCGAUAUGGCGGCGGCGCGGCGCUAGGGUUCACCUCGGAAGGCGUGCAGCGAACAGAUGAGAUUAUAAAACUGGAUGAGAAAAAAAAAAGCGCACGGGAGAAAAACUGGCGACAAAAAAGAUUGACGAAAAAAACUAAAAACGCCCGAGAGGCGCGCAGUGGACAGAUCGGAUUAAAAAAGGGACCAAAAAAAACAAAAUCCUAAGCAUGUGCGCAUAAAAAACUUUUUUACGUGCAAAGAAAAAAGGAAAAAAAACGGACUUUUUUUUUCCUGGCAGAUUUAUUUUUCCUUUUUCUACGGGAGUCGGACAAGAGAUGUUUUUUUUUCUUUUUUUUUAACUGACAACGACCAAAGCUUUUUUUUAAGGGAAAAUCGGAACCAUGCCAUUAUAAUUUUAUAAAAUUUGAGAUAUGCCAUUUUGACCUACAUGUCAUUGACUCAUAUGGGUCUUAUAUGUCAUUGAGAUACCGAUGGCAUAUCUCAAACUUUGCAAAAUUAUAAUGGCAUGGUUCUAAUUUACCCUUUUUUUAAUCGCUUGUUAAGUCGGACUUUCUUUUAUUUCUUUAUUUACCUUUUUUUAGUCGGACUUUUUUUCUUUCUUUCUUUUUUACAGAAGACGGAAUCUAUUGUAGUAGAGAUAUAGAUUAAAACUGAAAAAUAAAAUUAAAACCGUUUCAAACACAGAUGACGUACCAAAAUUCUGGUAAAAACAUCUUAAACUUUUAUAAUAGGUAAAUAUAUAUAUAUAUAUAUAUAUAUAUAUAUAUAUAUAUAUAUAUAUAGUUUAGUUAAGAUGAAAUUCAUUGCGGGAGUUCGCUUGGAUAUAUAUAUUUUUAGAAAAUCAUGAGCUGCAGGUAGGAGUCCGAUCGUCUCAAGUUAGUAUGCGAGUUCUUUUCAACAGAUUUCUUAUAAUUCCAUCUAUAUUACCAAAAGUGAACGAUCUUGAAAACCGACUCAAAUACGGUUAUGUAUUUCCAAAAGCAAACAAACUUAAAAACCAACUUAUACGAGAUUUAGUACAUUAUAAUAUCGUGAGUCUGAAUAAAUUCAUAAUAGUACGACGUAUUAUAGUAGGUUCUCUUUAUGAAAGGAAGGAAGUAGUCCUCUUUGGACUGACUUGAUUCUGUGAUCGUUUUCUUCGGUUGAGACAAACAGAAGCAGGCUAACCUAGGAACCACAUGCGCACGUGACAGGUGAGACUCCCUACAAAGUGCAAUGUGAUUAAGAAAAGCAAACAUAUCAGUUUUGCUGACUCCUGAUGAUAAAAAGGUUUUACGCAAAGCAAGAACCAUGCUGUCUAGUGUCUACGGUAGCAAAAAGUGCAGAGCUUUUUUCUUGACACUGAACGAAAAUUGCUACUCGCUGUAGCCCCUCUCAAAGAUGGGUGAGAAAACGGUGGCGGAAAAGUUUGGUGAGAUAUUUUUAAGGAAGAAUUUCAUCACUUUCGAAAAGAAUGGCAUGGCCUUUCUGAACUGUCUCAUCUGUCCCUUUGCUUUAUAGAGAGGCAAAAAGCAAUAAGCAGGUGAUGGCAUGCAAAUCAAGAACAAAAGAUGAAUAGCAAGUGAUGACAACGACUACAUAAAACUGGUAAGCUAUUGAAAGAAAAUUCUCACUAACUAUUGAUGGAAAUUAUGUGCCUUUGAGGUGGUAUUUUAAGUAUUUUUUAAUUAAGUCAUAGUUUCAUAAUUCGUAAUCAGUUUUUUAAAAUAAAAGAAAAAUGUAUUCUCUAGGAAAUAAAUAAAACAUAUUUGCGAGGAUGAUAGGUGCGUAGUAGUAAGCCAAAUUAGAAGGCAUUGCCAUGGCAACUCCAGUAAUAGAGUGACGAAAUUUCCAUUCGGCUAUUUCUCCUCUCUUCAGGUUGUAUGCAUCUGAUCUCUUUGUGCUCCCGGUUCAUCCUCGUCAGAAAGAAUAAAUGACCGUGGACAAUAACACGAGAUAGUUUCACUAAAUUUACAAAUUGUAGAUAUUGACCGCAUCUAGGCUGUGUUUAGAUUGGCCCAAAGUUUAGAAUUUGAUUGAAAUUAAAGGCGAUAUGACUGAAAAGUUGUGUGUGUAUAAAAAGUUUGAUGUGAUAAAAAGUUGGAAGUUUAAAAAAAAACUUUGGAACUAAACACACCCCUACUUUACUACUCCAUACAAAACGGCUUGUUCUUUUUGUCAGAUGAAUAAAAGCUCGCCGAAUGGUAUUACCUAAAAAAACUGACUUGUUCUUUUCUUCUUAAUGAACAAAUGUGUACGGUUCCCGAGCAACGGUACGAUUUUUUUAAACACAGUAGCAACCGUAUGAUUUUGACAAGGAAAUUAUGUAUAUAAAUUUCUCAUAAUAUUAUCUUUUUUUGGGGAUUCUCAGAAUAUUAUCUAAUACUAUUUUUUAACUAAAUAAUAGUUCAUACCUCAAAUAAUGAUCACAAAUCGUUCACCUAUUAAAGAAAGAAGUAUUUAAUAUGUUCCUAUCCUAUUUUUAUAGGAUUUUGGAUUAAAAAAAAGGCAGACCGUUUACCAUUCAGUUGCUAAGGGCUCUUUUAAAAAAAACGUAAAUAUUAGAGAAUGAUCUAAUAUCAAAUAUCAAGUAGUUAGAAGGGAUGAGGUUUUAAACCCAGGUUGUUUAGCCCACCACCUUGUGAAGCUAGCCGGAAGACCCCUGAAUGUUUCUCGGCUCUUUUACAGUAUAGGAUUGUGGAAACAUAUGAAUAGGAAAACAUAGGAAUCAAAUAUCAUGCUUAUUGGAUUUCUACAAAAUUUCAAACACACAAAACUUUAAAAAUUAUCGUUUAGUUGACUCAUGGAAAAACAUAAGGAUUCGAUACACAAGUAGUAAACACGUGAGGUAAGAUCUUGUACUUAUUUUUCUUCAAAAUUACUCUAGAAUUCAUUCCGUAUGAAUUUGAUAGAUUGGAAAUAAUCCUUUGUUCCACAUGGCUCUAUAAAGAUUGUCUCCUAGAGGAUAAAUUCUCUGGAAUUUCUUUAUCUUUCUUUUGAACUUAUACAUUUUUUCUCUGUUUCAAAGGGGGCUAAGGGUGUGUUCGGCACCCCUUUUCCCAACCUCUCUCUUGUUUUCCGCGCACACGCUUUUCAAACUGCCAAAUGAUGCAUUUUUUGCAAAAAGUUUCUAUACAAAAGUUACUUAAAAAAAUCAAAUUAAUCAUUUUUAAAAAAAAUUAGCUAAUACUUUAUUAAUCACGCGCUAAUGGAUCGCUCCGUUUUCCGUGCGGGAGGGAUUAGUUCACAUCCCCCUGAAACCGAACACAGCCUAAGUCUCAUGUCAGCUUUUGCUAUACCACCCCUAAAUUUAUGGCCCCAUCGUUUCGCUUAUUCGGGAAAUAAGCGAAACAAUAUAUUUGCAAACGAAAAAUAAUUUGUAAAUAAAAUUUUUAUAUACGUGUUCUUAGCAAUCUAAAAGCAAAUGUUGAAAAAUAAACUUCGAUGUAAAAACCCCAAAUUCAACUCCGAAUUUAAAGUUAAAAAAUUUAAAUUUUGGCUAAUAAGUGUAAUAUAAUCAUAAGCUAUAAGAUUAGUACUACCUCCAUAUUUUAAUGUAUGACGCCGUUGACUUUUUGUCCAACGUUUGACCAUUCGUCUUAUUCAAAAAAUUUAUGUAAUUAUUAUUUAUUUUAUU